GACGAACGCUGGCGGCGUGCCUAAUACAUGCAAGUUGAGCGCUGAAGGUUGGUACUUGUACCAACUGGAUGAGCAGCGAACGGGUGAGUAACGCGUGGGGAAUCUGCCUUUGAGCGGGGGACAACAUUUGGAAACGAAUGCUAAUACCGCUUAAAAACUUUAAACACAAGUUUUAAGUUUGAAAGAUGCAAUUGCAUCACUCAAAGAUGAUCCCGCGUUGUAUUAGCUAGUUGGUGAGGUAAAGGCUCACCAAGGCGAUGAUACAUAGCCGACCUGAGAGGGUGAUCGGCCACAUUGGGACUGAGACACGGCCCAAACUCCUACGGGAGGCAGCAGUAGGGAAUCUUCGGCAAUGGACGAAAGUCUGACCGAGCAACGCCGCGUGAGUGAAGAAGGUUUUCAGAUCGUAAAACUCUGUUGGUAGAGAAGAACGUUGGUGAGAGUGGAAAGCUCAUCAAGUGACGGUAACUACCCAGAAAGGGACGGCUAACUACGUG
Molecule: ribosomal RNA, 497 nt
Filed under: uncultured bacterium
Lineage: Bacteria
Description: partial 16S ribosomal RNA
Rfam family: Bacterial small subunit ribosomal RNA
Source: RNAcentral